This 699-nucleotide ribosomal RNA is filed under the name uncultured bacterium. RNAcentral's name for it is "partial 16S ribosomal RNA". The record is from RNAcentral.
UACGGUUACCUUGUUACGACUUCACCCCAGUCGCUGAUCCUACCGUGGCCGCCUGCCUCCCCGAAGGGUUAGCGCAGCGUCGUCAGGUAGAACCAACUCCCAUGGUGUGACGGGCGGUGUGUACAAGGCCCGGGAACGUAUUCACCGCAGCAUGCUGUUCUGCGAUUACUAGCGAUUCCGACUUCAUGCCGUCGAGUUGCAGACGACAAUCCGAACUGAGAUGGUUUUUGGGGAUUAACCCACUGUCACCACCAUUGUAGCACGUGUGUAGCCCAACCCGUAAGGGCCAUGAGGACUUGACGUCAUCCACACCUUCCUCCCGCUUAUCACGGGCAGUUUCCCUAGAGUGCCCAGCCGAACUGCUGGCAACUAAGGAUGUGGGUUGCGCUCGUUGCCGGACUUAACCGAACAUCUCACGACACGAGCUGACGACAGCCAUGCAGCACCUGUAUCCUAUCCAGCCGAACUGACGGAAUCCAUCUCUGGAAACCUCGAUAGGUAUGUCAAGGGUUGGUAAGGUUCUGCGCGUUGCGUCAAAUUAAACCACAUGCUCCACCGCUUGUGCGGGCCCCCGUCAAUUCCUUUGAGUUUUAAUCUUGCGACCGUACUCCCCAGGCGGAAUGCUUAAUCCUUUUGGUGUGGAACCCAAUAACAUGCUACCCGACGUCUGGAAUUCAUCGUUUACGGGGGGGGAUUACC